Molecule: unclassified non-coding RNA, 231 nt
Filed under: plant metagenome
Description: partial contains small subunit ribosomal RNA, internal transcribed spacer 1, and 5.8S ribosomal RNA
Source: RNAcentral
GCUCCGUUGGUGAACCAGCGGAGGGAUCAUUACAGAGCUGCAAAACUCCCAAACCAUUGUGAACGUUACCUAUCCCGUUGCUUCGGCGGGCGGCCCGGGCCCCGCGCCCGGCGCCCCCCGGCCCCCCGUGGGCGCCCGCCGGAGGUAAACCAAACCCUUGAAUUGCAUGGCCUCUCUGAGUCUUCUGUACUGAAUAAGUCAAAACUUUCAACAACGGAUCUCUUGGUUCUG